Molecule: ribosomal RNA, 465 nt
Filed under: Vreelandella stevensii
Lineage: Bacteria; Pseudomonadati; Pseudomonadota; Gammaproteobacteria; Oceanospirillales; Halomonadaceae
Description: partial 16S ribosomal RNA
Rfam family: Bacterial small subunit ribosomal RNA
Source: RNAcentral
CCUACGGGGGGCAGCAGUGGGGAAUAUUGGACAAUGGGGGGAACCCUGAUCCAGCCAUGCCACGUGUGUGAAGAAGGCCCGCGGGUUGUAAAGCACUUUCAGUGAGGAAGAACGCCUGGUGGUUAAUACCCAUCAGGAAAGACAUCACUCACAGAAGAAGCACCGGCUAACUCCGUGCCAGCAGCCGCGGUAAUACGGAGGGUGCGAGCGUUAAUCGGAAUUACUGGGCGUAAAGCGCGCGUAGGUGGCUUGAUAAGCCGGUUGUGAAAGCCCCGGGCUCAACCUGGGAACGGCAUCCGGAACUGGCAAGCUAGAGUGCAGGAGAGGAAGGUAGAAUUCCCGGUGUAGCGGUGAAAUGCGUAGAGAUCGGGAGGAAUACCAGUGGCGAAGGCGGCCUUCUGGACUGACACUGACACUGAGGUGCGAAAGCGUGGGUAGCAAACAGGAUUAGAUACCCUGGUAGUC